This 192-nucleotide ribosomal RNA is filed under the name Mytilus trossulus (common blue mussel). Its description in RNAcentral is "partial 16S ribosomal RNA". Lineage: Eukaryota; Metazoa; Mollusca; Bivalvia; Mytilida; Mytilidae. The record is from RNAcentral.
GGUCUGUUCGCCCUUUAAAAUCUAACAUGAGCUGAGUUCAGAACGGCGUGAGCUAGUUCAGUUUCUAUCCUCUUUUUGAAAUGAGCUAAUUUUGUACGAAAGGACUUUUUCGCUAAAGCAAUGCUUUGUCACAAAUCUGUGGUUGCAUAAAUAAUAGGGUAUAAUAGGUUGAUUAGCCUAUAGGAAGGGUUA